Small nucleolar RNA from Hemicordylus capensis (graceful crag lizard), 91 nucleotides. RefSeq annotates it as small nucleolar RNA SNORD35. The record is from RefSeq and is a predicted model, not a curated record. The transcript has a single exon. Lineage: Eukaryota; Metazoa; Chordata; Lepidosauria; Squamata; Cordylidae.
UGCAAGUGAUGUAUUUCUCACGAUGGUCUGCUGAGCCCCCCAGUGAAGGGGCUCUGACGAAACUGCCGUGUGGCUUAACUGAUGCUUCCGA